AUGGCUGCCCAAGACGAGCAGCCGCUGCACAUCCUCUUCUUCCCGUUCCUAGCCCCGGGCCACCUCAUUCCCACCACCGACAUGGCCGUGCUCUUCGCCGCCCGCGGCGUCAGGUGCACCGUCCUCACCACGCCGGUCAACGCCGCGCUCAUCCGCUCAGCCGUCGACCGCGCCAAUGACGGCAGCUCCCCGGCGAUCGACAUCUCCGUGGUGCCUUUCCCUGACGUCGGGCUCCCGCCGGGCGUCGAGAACUUCGCGGCCCUCACGUCCCAGGACGACCGCGACAGGUUCUUCCGAGCGCUGCCGCUGUUCCGAGAGCCCUUCGGCCGGCUCCUGGUCGACAGCCGCCCCGACGCCGUGGUCUCCGACAGCUUCUUCCACUGGUCCGCGGACGCCGCCGCGGAGCACGGCGUCCCGCGAAUCGCGUUCCUCGGCAGCAGCGUGUUCGCGCGCUCCUGCAGCGACAGCAUGCUGCGCCACAACCCGCUGGCGGCCGCCCCCGGCGACCCCGACGCCCUCGUCUCCCUGCCGGGGCUGCCGCACCGCGUCGAGAUGAGGCGGAGCCAGAUGAUGGACCCGGCGAGGGCGUCGCACUGGGCCUUCUUCGAGAGCGUGAACGCCGCGGACCAGAGGAGCUUCGGCGAGGUGUUCAACAGCUUCCAGGAGCUGGAGCCGGACUACGCCGAGCACUACCGCGCGACGCUCGGCCGCCGCGCGUGGCUCGUCGGGCCCGUGGCGCUCGCCGGCAAGGACGACAUGGCCGGGCGAGGCGCCAGCGCGCCCUCGCCGGACACGGACGGCUGCCUCCGGUGGCUGGACGCGAAGCCGGCCGGCUCGGUGGUGUACGUGUCCUUCGGCACGCUGGCCAGCUUCUCGCCGGCGGAGCUGCGCCAGCUCGCCCGCGGCCUCGACCUCUCGGGCAUGAAUUUCCUGUGGGCGAUGGGCGCCGCAGACUCUUCGCCGGAGAAGUGGAUGCCGGAAGGCUUCGCCGAGCUGGUGGCAUCACGCGGCGGCCGCGGCUUCAUCGUGCGAGGCUGGGCGCCGCAGCUGCUCAUCCUGAACCACCCCGCCCUCGGCGGGUUCGUGACGCACUGCGGCUGGAACUCGGUGCUGGAGGCCGUGAGCGCCGGCGUGCCGAUGGUCACGUGGCCGCGGCACGCGGACCAGUUCAACAACGAGAUGCUCAUCGUGAAGCUGCUCGAGGUGGGUGUCAGCGUCGGCGCCAAGGACUACGGGUCGUCCCUCGAUGCCCACGAGGUGGUCGGCGGCGAGGUGAUCGCCGGAUCCAUCGGGAGGUUGAUGGAGAGCGACGCCAUACAGAAGAAGGCCAGGGACCUGGCUGUGAAGGCGAGGAGCGCCGUGGAGACGGGUGGGUCUUCGUACGACGCCGUUGGCCGGCUGAUGGACGAGUUGACGGCUCGCCGGAGUUCAGUCCAGGUUAAACAAGCUAGCUGA
Molecule: ribosomal RNA, 1455 nt
Filed under: Triticum aestivum (bread wheat)
Lineage: Eukaryota; Viridiplantae; Streptophyta; Magnoliopsida; Poales; Poaceae
Description: partial small subunit ribosomal RNA
Source: RNAcentral